AUUUAAACAGGUUCCCCACCACCCAGGCCAUGCUCUUUUCUCACUGCUGCCAUCAGGUAGAAGGUACAAGAGCUUCAGGACUCGCACCACCAGGUUCAGAAUCCUGUGGCCCCUCCUCGCCUAUGCAGUUCCGAUCUCGACAGUCGAAACCUUAGAGAGGAGUGUUAGCAACCACCUCAGGAGAUGGCUGGGGCUGCCAAAGAGCCUGAGCAGCAUCGCACUCUAUGGACACCACAACAAACUGCAACUGCCCUUCAAAUCCUUGGAGGAAGAAUUCAAGACAUCAAGGGAAAGCUGGAAGUUGCUGCAGUCGGGCACCUGAGGCAAGGAAUAGUAUGGUCCCCACAGCUCUCCUUAUAGACGAACGCUUGGCCUUAAGCACCAAACUUAUGAGUGGCCUACUUUGUUUUGUGUGAAGCAUUGGUUACUUUAGCCCUUCGGUACAAUAUAGAUGUUGCAGCAACAAGGAUGAUUCAUUACGUGCUGACUAAAUCACUGGAUGGUGUUCAGUGUGUCACAGGGCUGGAAGGCCGUGAUUGACCCUGACAUAGGGCUCAGCCGCUCACAGAAUGGCUGGCUGUCUACCCUACUACACUGCAGGCUUUCCAGUUCAGUUUCAAGGCUCAUGCUUGGGGUAUGGUGACCGGGAAAGAGAAUGCCCUCGGUGUUCUUGCUUGCCCUGUGGG
This is a long non-coding RNA of Mobula hypostoma (lesser devil ray), 686 nucleotides long. RefSeq lists it as uncharacterized. Lineage: Eukaryota; Metazoa; Chordata; Chondrichthyes; Myliobatiformes; Myliobatidae. The transcript is spliced from 3 exons. The record is from RefSeq and is a predicted model, not a curated record.